UCUGGUAAUGAUGCCUCUAAAGGUCACACUCCUUCCCAUACCGAACAGGAAAGUUAAGCUUUAGAGGGCCGAUGGUACUGCAUGGGUGACUGUGUGGAAGAGUAGGAUGUUGCCAGGU
Molecule: ribosomal RNA, 118 nt
Filed under: Clostridium frigidicarnis
Lineage: Bacteria; Bacillati; Bacillota; Clostridia; Eubacteriales; Clostridiaceae
Source: RNAcentral